GGGCGGUUAGCUCAGCGGUAGAGCACUACCUCGACACGGUAGGGGCCACAGGUUCAAUCCCUGUACCGCCCACCA
RNAcentral lists this transfer RNA (75 nucleotides) under Micavibrio aeruginosavorus. Its description in RNAcentral is "tRNA-Val". It matches the Rfam family "tRNA". Rfam says of the family: Transfer RNA (tRNA) molecules are approximately 80 nucleotides in length. RNAcentral also lists the same sequence under 2 other names. The record is from RNAcentral. Lineage: Bacteria; Pseudomonadati; Bdellovibrionota; Bdellovibrionia; Bdellovibrionales; Pseudobdellovibrionaceae.